This 343-nucleotide ribosomal RNA is filed under the name Cnephia dacotensis. RNAcentral's name for it is "partial 16S ribosomal RNA". Lineage: Eukaryota; Metazoa; Arthropoda; Insecta; Diptera; Simuliidae. The record is from RNAcentral.
GCAUAAUCAUUAGUCUUUUAAUUGAAGGCUGGUAUGAAUGGUUGGAUGAGAUACAAGCUGUGUCAUAAAAAUUAAUAUUUGAAUUUAACUUUUUAGUCAAAAGGCUAAAAUUAAGUUAAAAGACGAGAAGACCCUAUAGAGCUUUAUACAAUAAUUAUUUAAAUUAUUAAGAUUUUUUAAAUUUAAUUAUUUUUUUUUGUAUUUUGUUGGGGUGACAAUAAAAUUUAUUAAACUUUUAUUUUUAUUAAACAUUAAUUUAUGAGUAAAUGAUCCAAUUUUAUUGAUUAUAAAUUUAAGUUACCUUAGGGAUAACAGCGUAAUUUUUUUUAAGAGUUCUUAUCGA